This 245-nucleotide ribosomal RNA is filed under the name uncultured microorganism. RNAcentral's name for it is "partial 16S ribosomal RNA". It matches the Rfam family "Bacterial small subunit ribosomal RNA", at positions 9 to 238 of the family's 1533-position model. The record is from RNAcentral.
GAGUUUGAUCGUGGCUCAGGAUGAACGCUGGCGGCGUGCCUAACACAUGCAAGUCGAGCGAAGCAUACAGGAGGAAGUUUUCGGAUGGAAUCCUGCAUGGCUGAGCGGCGGACGGGUGAGUAACGCGUGGGUAACCUGCCUUAUACAGGGGAUAACAGUUAGAAAUGACUGCUAAUACCGCAUAAGCGCACAGUACCGCAUGGUAGUGUGUGAAAAACUCCGGUGGUAUAAGAUGGACCGCGUCU